This 492-nucleotide ribosomal RNA is filed under the name uncultured bacterium. RNAcentral describes it as "partial 16S ribosomal RNA". It matches the Rfam family "Bacterial small subunit ribosomal RNA", at positions 29 to 507 of the family's 1533-position model. The record is from RNAcentral.
AGUGAACGCUGGCGGUAGGCCUAACACAUGCAAGUCGAACGGCAGCACAGUAAGAGCUUGCUCUUACGGGUGGCGAGUGGCGGACGGGCGAGGAAUACAUCGGAAUCUACUUUUUCGUGGGGGAUAACGUAGGGAAACUUACGCUAAUACCGCAUACGACCUACGGGUGAAAGCAGGGGAUCUUCGGACCUUGCGCGAUUGAAUGAGCCGAUGUCGGAUUAGCUAGUUGGCGGGGUAAAGGCCCACCAAGGCGACGAUCCGUAGCUGGUCUGAGAGGAUGAUCAGCCACACUGGAACUGAGACACGGUCCAGACUCCUACGGGAGGCAGCAGUGGGGAAUAUUGGACAAUGGGCGCAAGCCUGAUCCAGCCAUACCGCGUGGGUGAAGAAGGCCUUCGGGUUGUAAAGCCCUUUUGUUGGGAAAGAAAAGCAGCAGGUUAAUACCCCGAUGUUCUGACGGUACCCAAAGAAUAAGCACCGGCUAACUUCGUG